GCAAGUCAAGGAGAAAGCUUUCUUCGGAAAGUGAUUAAACUGGCGCACGGGUGAGGAAUAUGUAAGUAAUCUACCUAUAAGUUGGGAAUAACACCUCGAAAGAGAUGCUAAUACCGAAUAAGAUAUUGCGAUUGCAUGAUUGCGAUAUUAAAGGUGCUUUGGCACUGCUUAUAGAUGAGCUUGCAUCUGAUUAGCUAGUUGGUAAGGUAAAGGCUUACCAAGGCGACGAUCAGUAGCUGGUCUGAGAGGAUGAUC
Molecule: ribosomal RNA, 255 nt
Filed under: uncultured bacterium
Lineage: Bacteria
Description: partial 16S ribosomal RNA
Rfam family: Bacterial small subunit ribosomal RNA
Source: RNAcentral